UACGUAGGGGACAAGCGUUGUCCGGAUUUACUGGGCGGAAAGAGCGCGCAGGCGGUCGAUCAAGUCGAGUGUGAAAGCCCCCGGCUCAACUGGGGAGGGUCAUUCGAUACUGAUCGACUCGAAGGCAGGAGAGGGUAGUGGAAUUCCCGGUGUAGUGGUGAAAUGCGUAGAUAUCGGGAGGAACACCAGUGGCGAAGGCGACUACCUGGCCUGUUCUUGACGCUGAGGCGCGAAAGCUAGGGGAGCAAACGGG
Molecule: ribosomal RNA, 253 nt
Filed under: uncultured bacterium
Lineage: Bacteria
Description: partial 16S ribosomal RNA
Rfam family: Bacterial small subunit ribosomal RNA
Source: RNAcentral